CGAGCUGGCAGUGCGUGUGACCCUUAGAGGCCAGUGAUGAUUCAUGAAGGAGGAAGAUCGUGUCAAGAUCCUUGUUCUCGAGAUGCUAAACAAAAUACCCAGAUCCCCAAGAUCGCGUCACGUUGCCAGCCCAUCCCAUCCCCGCGCUGUUACUCGUACUCCGGCUGCAUUCACGUUACAGCGGAGCAAUCUGAUGGAGACAUCAGCUCGUACAACAGGAGUGCUCAGGAUCAGCCGAGGGCUUGGACAUUCCUGCCACAAAGAAACUGCAGCCAACUCUCUGUCGCUGAGCCAAAGGGAAAGCAGCAUAUGCAUCUUCGGAUGCACUGGACGAGGACAAUUAUUUGCAGUGACCCAAACAAACAUGCCAGCAUCACGUAUUCCUUCUGUACAUUGUGCCAGCAGCGACGAACUCUUUUGAUUUAGAAACAGCACCAAGGUGGGAUAUUGCUAUGGUGGGAUGUGCUCCCGUCCCCUCAGGGCUUCCACGCACCUUCCUGACACAGGGACGUGGUGAUGACUCCCUGGCAGAAACUCUCGCCUGACAAAUUCUUCAUGUACACUACUUCCCUGCCGUUGCAGCCUGGCUGCAUUUAAAUGGACAACGCCGGCUACCUUGGGCGCUUAGUUGCCUUCCUUGCGCAGAAAAGGACGAAUGGGAGGGGCGGGGGGGAAGGGGAGAUGCUCUUGGGAAUAUGGAACGUAACAAAGUUUUGGUUUUUUUUUUUUUUUUCCCCAAAAACCUGCCCUGAUUGCUAAGCAGUAGCCAUACUGCUCACAAAACCCCAGUAUCUAAAACAAAGGAGCAGUGAGGUGUACAGCGGGAAAAGACAGCCCACUGGCUGUACCCAAAAUGCACAUUCCUGCAGGGAAACGGCGCUGUCACGCACAGAAGCG
Molecule: long non-coding RNA, 897 nt
Filed under: Zonotrichia albicollis (white-throated sparrow)
Lineage: Eukaryota; Metazoa; Chordata; Aves; Passeriformes; Passerellidae
Description: lncRNA (ENSZALG00000017358.1)
Source: RNAcentral